GGCACCGACAUAGAAGAUAAAAUGUUUGGUCAUGCUUUUCAAGCGAUCGUCGCAGUUCUUCUCGUUUCCUACUGUGUAGGAGAGCCCCUGAAAGGUUCGACGUGCGCUUUCGGCAGCACGCCGCAAAUAUUCCUGAACGGUGCCAUACUUGAGGCUAACGCACAAAAAUGCUACGAAGCUAUAUGCACAAACGGCGUCGUGUCAAUCAACAGCAUCAGCGCCGGCUGCGGGUGCUGUGAGUACGGCGGUCGCGUGUACGCCCCCGGCGCAGAGGUGUCGCAGAGGACCUGCAGAGCCCGGUGCGAGUCGGGUGGUUACUGGGUGUGCAUAGGGGCACCUGUAAUCAGAGCUGCUACGCCGCUGCUAGAAUUGACCGUGGGCGGCAGCGGUUGAGUUCGCCUCUUUCUGGAUACCUACACCAUCUUUUCUCACUGUGCUCGACGCAUUGAAAAUCACGGACCUCGCUAAUCAUCUGUGCAGCUAAUUAAAUUGUUUCGACCCCCGAUGAAGAUAUAAAUG
Amphibalanus amphitrite is the source of this 519-nucleotide long non-coding RNA. RefSeq lists it as uncharacterized. The transcript has 4 exons. NCBI's taxonomy places the organism in Eukaryota, Metazoa, Arthropoda, Thecostraca, Balanomorpha, Balanidae. The record is from RefSeq and is a predicted model, not a curated record.